AACGAACGCUGGCGGCAUGCCUAACACAUGCAAGUCGAACGAGACCUUCGGGUCUAGUGGCGCACGGGUGCGUAACGCGUGGGAACCUGCCCUUAGGUUCGGAAUAACUCCCCGAAAGGGGUGCUAAUACCGGAUAAUGUCUUCGGACCAAAGAUUUAUCGCCUUUGGAUGGGCCCGCGUUGGAUUAGCUAGUUGGUAGGGUAAAAGCCUACCAAGGCGACGAUCCAUAGCUGGUCUGAGAGGAUGAUCAGCCCCACUGGGACUGAGGCACGGCCCAGACUCCUACGGGAGGCAGCAGUGGGGAAUAUUGGACAAUGGGCGAAAGCCUGAUCCAGCAAUGCCGCGUGAGUGAUGAAGGCCUUAGGGUUGUAAAGCUCUUUUACCCGGGAUGAUAAUGACAGUACCGGGAGAAUAAGCACCGGCUAACUACGUG
This 433-nucleotide ribosomal RNA is filed under the name uncultured bacterium. RNAcentral's name for it is "partial 16S ribosomal RNA". It matches the Rfam family "Bacterial small subunit ribosomal RNA", at positions 29 to 507 of the family's 1533-position model. The record is from RNAcentral.